RNA transcript from Carya illinoinensis, 2335 nucleotides. It is a transcript of the gene named glucan endo-1,3-beta-glucosidase 13-like, with no coding region annotated. The transcript is spliced from 5 exons. Lineage: Eukaryota; Viridiplantae; Streptophyta; Magnoliopsida; Fagales; Juglandaceae. The record is from RefSeq and is a predicted model, not a curated record.
AGUAUAUAAAAAGAUGGAAACAGACAUGCCAUUUUGCGGAACCGAGGCAUUAUAUUUAACUAAAAUUCACAAACAACUCUGAGGUCCGGUUCUGGCGCUGACACACGGCCCCUGAAGGCGAGUCCCUUGCACAAAACACCAAGCGUUACCGUACAUCCUUGUCUAGCCUAGGCUAAGCUCUCUAGCUAAGCUAACCUUCAACGCUAAGUGCUCGCUCUUGGGCUUCCAAAGACUACGGCUUCUCUCUUUUCAAUAAAGCGAAAGAGCCGUUACCCUCCUGCAGUAGCCCAAGGAGAAGAACGUUGCCCGUCGCUUUUAGUGGUGUAUAGAAGAAGAAGAAGAAGAGGAGGAGGAGGAGGAGGAGGAAGGACUAAGGAGGCAUUGCUUGCUUGAAGAGCUAUGGCCAGGGGAUUCAGGCUUAUCUUUGCGUCUUCACUUUUGCUCAUGCUUUUAGGUUUCUGCAGGGGAAGCACAAUUGGAGUUUGCUAUGGAAGAAAUGCGGAUGACCUCCCCACACCUGAUAAAGUGGCCCAGCUGGCUCAACUACAUGAUAUUAAGUAUGUGAGGAUUUAUGACUCCAAUAUCCAGGUUCUCAAGGCAUUUUCAAACACCGGAGUUGAACUUAUGAUUGGAAUUUCAAAUUUCGAUUUAUUGCCAUUCUCCCAGUUCCAAUCCAAUGCAGACACUUGGCUGAAGAACAGCAUCCUUCCAUACUAUCCAGCCACAAAAAUCACAUACAUAACUGUUGGUGCUGAAGUUACAGAAAGCCCCAGUAAUGUCUCUGCCCUAGUAGUACCUGCCAUGAAAAAUGUCCUCGCAGCUCUCAGAAAAGUUGGUUUGCACAAGAGGAUCAAAGUUUCAAGUACCCAUUCCCUUGGGGUUCUGUCCCGAUCAUUUCCACCCUCUGCAGGGGCUUUCAAUAGCAGCCAUGCGUUUUUCCUGAAGCCUAUGCUGGAGUUUUUGGCUGAGAACCAGUCACCUUUCAUGAUAGAUAUUUACCCUUUCUAUGCUUACAGAGACUCCCCCAGCAAUGUGUCUCUAGACUAUGCUCUGUUUGAGUCAUCCUCUGAAGUUAUUGAUCCAAAUACUGGUUUGCUGUACACAAACAUGUUUGAUGCCCAGAUAGAUGCUCUUUAUUUUGCACUGAUGGCUCUGAAUUUCAGAACAAUUAAAAUCAUGGUCACUGAAACCGGUUGGCCUUCCAAAGGUUCUCCCAAGGAGUCAGCUGCUACUCCUGAUAACGCUCAGACUUUUAACACUAAUCUGAUUCGGCAUGUCAUUAACAAUACUGGUACUCCUGCAAAGCCCGGACAGGAGCUCAAUGUUUAUAUCUUCUCUUUGUUCAAUGAAAAUAGGAAGCCUGGGUUGGAAUCUGAGAGAAACUGGGGACUAUUUUAUCCAGACCAGACGAGUGUCUAUAGCCUGGAUUUCACUGGUAAAGGUGCUGCAGUAAUGACUACAGCGGCAAAUGUUACCAGUUCAAAUGUAACAACGUGGUGCAUAGCUUCAAAUAAGGCUUCUGAAAUGGACUUGCAGAAUGCCUUAGACUGGGCAUGUGGUCCUGGGAAUGUGGACUGCACUGCUAUUCAGCCUAGCCAACCUUGUUAUGAACCAGAUAAUCUAGUCUCACAUGCAUCUUUCGCAUUCAAUAAUUAUUUCCAGCAAAAUGGGGCUACUGAUGUUGCUUGCAGUUUUGGAGGGACAGGGGUUAAAGUUGAUAAAAACCCGAGCUAUGAUAAUUGCUUUUAUAUGACCACUGGGAGCAACAAAACAGUAGCAAGUAAUACAACAGCAAUUUCUUCAACCACUUCGUAUUCUACACAGAAGGAAGCUCCCACAUGGGUUUCUAGUUGUCUUCUCGUGACUUUCUUCUCAUUCCUUUUGAACACCGGUCAUGCCUGAUAAGUUUGAUCUUUAAGCAGUGUAAAGAUUUAGCCUCCUCCAAGCGUGGAGCUUCUUGAGAUGCAAGUACAGCUUGAAGUGGGAGGAGACUGGGUUGGGGAUGGGGACCCCCAUAUCCCCCACAAUUCAGCAUCGGCUGCCUUGCUUCAACAAUGGUCCGGAUUUUACCUCAAUACCUGAGAUUAAAUUACAAAAUUCUGGGCAGCAUUUCAGACCCAGUAAAAGGAAUACUCAUUGAUUUGUUCCCUCUUAUGGACCGUUCGGUAACGCCAACAUUGAUAAACUGUAAUCUCAAUGUUUCGUUGUCCACAAGUCACUCUUAUACUUAGCAGUAUCUAAUAUGAGUCUGCUGUAUUUGGAAAUAUAAUUGUUAUCAGCUAAUAUAGACUGUAACUUCACUAUUAUUUACAAACAGUUCACUAUUAUUCAUAAA